AGAGUUUGAUCUUGGCUCAGAACGAACGUUGGCGGCGUGGAUAAGGCAUGCAAGUCGUACGAUCUGUUCAGACCUUGAAGCUUCGGCUGAUAGGUCUGAUUUGAUAGUGGCAAAAGGGUGAGUAUCGCGUGGGUAAUUUACCUUUGAGAUUGGGAUAAUCCGCCGAAAGGCGGACUAAUACCGAAUAAGACCACAUUUACUUUGGUAUGUGUGGUAAAAGGAUGGGGAUCUUUCGGGACCUAUCGCUUAAAGAUGAGCCUGCGUCCUAUCAGCUUGUUGGCGGGGUAAAAGCCCACCAAGGCAACGACGGGUAGCUGGUCUGAGAGGAUGGUCAGCCACACUGGGACUGAGACACUGCCCAGACUCCUACGGGAGGCUGCAGUCGAGAAUCUUUCGCAAUGGGCGCAAGCCUGACGAUGCGACGCCGCGUGAGCGAUGAAGGCUUUCGGGUUGUAAAGCUCUGUCACAUGGGAAGAAUGUCCUUAGGGGUAAUAUCCUGAAGGGUUGACUGUACCAUGAAAGGAAGCCAUGGCUAACUCCGUGCCAGCAGCCGCGGUAAUACGGGGAUGGCUAACGUUGUUCGGAUUCAUUGGGUGUAAAGGGUAUGUAGGUGGCCUUGUAAGUCGGAUGUGAAAUCCUUUGGCUCAACCAAAGAACUGCAUUCGAAACUACAUGGCUUGAGUUUGGGAGAGGAGAGUGGAAUUCCCGGUGUAAGAGUGAAAUCUGUAGAUAUCGGGAGGAACACCAGUGGCGAAAGCGGCUCUCUGGACCAAAACUGACACUGAAAUACGAAAGCUAGGGGAGCAAACAGGAUUAGAUACCCUGGUAGUCCUAGCCGUAAACGAUGAGUACUAGGUGUAGGGUGUAAACUCUGUGCCGCAGUUAACACAUUAAGUACUCCACCUGGGGACUACGGCCGCAAGGCUGAAACUCAAAGAAAUUGACGGGGACCCGCACAAGCAGUGAGCAUGUGUUUAAUACGACGCUUCGCGUG
Molecule: ribosomal RNA, 994 nt
Filed under: uncultured Omnitrophica bacterium
Lineage: Bacteria; Pseudomonadati; Candidatus Omnitrophota
Description: bacterial SSU rRNA
Rfam family: Bacterial small subunit ribosomal RNA
Source: RNAcentral